CAUGAGUUAUUUGCUUAUGUAAUGUUCUUUAUUUAUUAUAGAUUAAAUUCUAUAAAUGACAUUUUCAUUAUCAUUGUGAGAAAUCUUAGAUUUAAUAAGUUGAUCGAUCUUAAUUAUGUGGACUGAUUGAGGAAUUUAAAAAUUAUACUCACUCAAGAGAAGCUUUCUUAUAUACUUGAUGUCCCUGAACCACAAGAGGUUGGGGAUGAUGCCACUG
RNAcentral lists this long non-coding RNA (217 nucleotides) under Elaeis guineensis (African oil palm). Its description in RNAcentral is "long non-coding RNA (EGUI_LNC053058)". Lineage: Eukaryota; Viridiplantae; Streptophyta; Magnoliopsida; Arecales; Arecaceae. The record is from RNAcentral.